RNAcentral lists this non-coding RNA (45 nucleotides) under Schistosoma margrebowiei. Lineage: Eukaryota; Metazoa; Platyhelminthes; Trematoda; Strigeidida; Schistosomatidae. The record is from RNAcentral.
AUCUAGUUGACGAGUCCCAAAUAGGACGGAAUGUGUGUCCUGGAU